AGCGGCGGACGGGUGAGUAACGCGUGGGUAACCUGCCUCAUACAGGGGGAUAACAGUUGGAAACGGCUGCUAAUACCGCAUAAGCGCACAGUACCGCAUGGUACGGUGUGAAAAACUCCGGUGGUAUGAGAUGGACCCGCGUCUGAUUAGGUAGUUGGUGGGGUAACGGCCUACCAAGGCGACGAUCAAUAGCCGACCUGAGAGGGUGACCGGCCACAUUGGGACUGAGACACGGCCCAA
Molecule: ribosomal RNA, 240 nt
Filed under: uncultured bacterium
Lineage: Bacteria
Description: partial 16S ribosomal RNA
Rfam family: Bacterial small subunit ribosomal RNA
Source: RNAcentral